GUCAGGAUGGCCGAGUGGUCUAAGGCGCUGCAUUCAAGCUGCAGUAUCGAAAGAUGCAAGGGUUCGAAUCCCUUUUCUGACA
This 82-nucleotide transfer RNA is filed under the name Fusarium pseudograminearum. Its description in RNAcentral is "tRNA-Leu (CAA) (tRNA-Leu-CAA-1-1)". It matches the Rfam family "tRNA". From Rfam's summary of the family: Transfer RNA (tRNA) molecules are approximately 80 nucleotides in length. Their secondary structure includes four short double-helical elements and three loops (D, anti-codon, and T loops). The record is from RNAcentral. RNAcentral also lists the same sequence under 1 other name. Lineage: Eukaryota; Fungi; Ascomycota; Sordariomycetes; Hypocreales; Nectriaceae.